This 253-nucleotide ribosomal RNA is filed under the name uncultured bacterium. RNAcentral's name for it is "partial 16S ribosomal RNA". It matches the Rfam family "Bacterial small subunit ribosomal RNA", at positions 524 to 776 of the family's 1533-position model. The record is from RNAcentral.
UACGGGGGGGGCAAGCGUUGUUCGGAAUUACUGGGCGUAAAGGGCUCGUAGGUGGCCAACUAAGUCAGACGUGAAAUCCCUCAGCUUAACUGGGGAACUGCGUCUGAUACUGGAUGGCUUGAGUUUGGGAGAGGGAUGCGGAAUUCCAGGUGUAGCGGUGAAGUGCGUAGAUAUCUGGAGGAACACCGGUGGCGAAGGCGGCAUCCUGGACCAACACUGACACUGAUGAGCGAAAGCCAGGGGAGCAAACGGG